UAAUCCAGUAAAUUUACCUUUUUACAUUGUUUUUCCUAGCAUGGAAGGGUGGAGGAAUGAAUAUGGGUGCAGUAUUAAAGUUGAACUGAUCUGGCAUACAGAACAUUCAAAAAUCUCUACUGGUAUAGGAGCAGAGUUUAUUGUAAGGGAAUGGGAUUGUCCUACUUGUAUUCCCUUGGACUGUUUACCACUGUCUUUAAGGCAGAAAUCUAUAAUAUAUCUGCAUGUAUUGCAAAGUCGCUAAUUCUAUCAACUAUCAAAUAUUAAUAAUAAUACUUAUAAGUAAACCUAACGGUUAAACGACU
This 305-nucleotide long non-coding RNA is filed under the name Androctonus crassicauda. Lineage: Eukaryota; Metazoa; Arthropoda; Arachnida; Scorpiones; Buthidae. The record is from RNAcentral.